AGAGUUUGAUCCCGGCUCAGAAUCAACGCUGGCGGCGCGCCUAACACAUGCAAGUCGAACGAGAAAGCUGGAGCAAUCCAGUGAGUAAAGUGGCGUACGGGUGAGUAACACGUGGAUCAUCUACCUCUUAGUGUGGAAUAACCCAGGGAAACCGGGGCUAAUACCGCAUAAGUCCGUGAGGAGAAAGCAGCAAUGCGCUGAGAGAGGAGUCCGCGGCCGAUUAGCUAGUUGGCAGGGUAAAAGCCUACCAAGGCAGAGAUCGGUAGCCGGCCUGAGAGGGCACACGGCCACACUGGCACUGAAACACGGGCCAGACUCCUACGGGAGGCAGCAGUGGGGAAUCUUGCACAAUGGGGGAAACCCUGAUGCAGCGACGCCGCGUGAGCGAUGAAGCCCUUCGGGGUGUAAAGCUCUUUCGGCAGGGAAGAUUAUGACGGUACCUGCAGAAGCAGCUGCGGCUAACUACGUGCCAGCAGCCGCGGUAAUACGUAGGCAGCGAGCGUUGUUCGGAGUUACUGGGCGUAAAGGGUGUGUAGGCGGUCGCCUAAGUUUGGUGUGAAAUCUCCCGGCUCAACCGGGAGGGUGCGCCGAAUACUGAGUGACUAGAGUGUGGGAGAGGAAAGUGGAAUUCCUGGUGUAGCGGUGAAAUGCGUAGAUAUCAGGAGGAACACCGGCGGUGUAGACGGCUUUCUGGACCAUAACUGACGCUGAAACACGAAAGCGUGGGUAGCAAACAGGAUUAGAUACCCUGGUAGUCCACGCCCUAAACGAUGCAUAUUUGGUGUGGGUCAUUCAGUUGAUCCGUGCCGGAGCUAACGCGUUAAAUAUGCCGCCUGGGGAGUACAGUCGCAAGGCUGAAACUCAAAG
RNAcentral lists this ribosomal RNA (867 nucleotides) under Bryobacterales bacterium. RNAcentral describes it as "bacterial SSU rRNA". It matches the Rfam family "Bacterial small subunit ribosomal RNA", at positions 8 to 906 of the family's 1533-position model. Lineage: Bacteria; Pseudomonadati; Acidobacteriota; Terriglobia; Bryobacterales. The record is from RNAcentral.